AGAGUUUGAUCCUGGCUCAGGACGAACGCUGGCGGUGUGCUUCACACAUGCAAGUCGAGCGAAUGAAGAAGGUAGCUUGCUACUUUUGGAUUUAGCGGCGGACGGGUGAGUAAUAUAUAGGAAUCUGCCCUAGAGCGGGGAACAACAGACCGAAAGGUUUGCUAAUGCCCCAUAGGUACGCAGUCUUCGGAUUGUUUAUUAAAGGAGUAAUCCACUCUAGGAUGAGCCUGUAUCCGAUUAGCUAGUUGGCGGGGUAAAGGCCCACCAAGGCUACGAUCGGUAGUUGGUCUGAGAGGAUGAUCAGCCACAAUGGAACUGAGACACGGCCCAUACUCCUACGGGAGGCAGCAGUGGGGAAUUUUACACAAUGGGGGAAACCCUGAUGUAGCGACACCGCGUGAACGAAGAAGCCUUUUGGGGUGUAAAGUUCUGUCGGCUGGAACGAAAAAAAUGACGGUACCAGCAAAGGAAGCAUCGGCUAACUACGUGCCAGCAGCCGCGGUAAGACGUAGGAUGCAAGCGUUGUCCGGAUUUAUUGGGCGUAAAGAGUUCGUAGGCGGUUAUUUAAGUCUGGUGUUAAAUACUGUGGCCCAACCACAGAACUGCAUUGGAUACUGGAUGACUUGAGUGCGGUAGAGGCGAGUGGAAUUCCCAGUGUAGCGGUGAAAUGCGUAGA
This 676-nucleotide ribosomal RNA is filed under the name uncultured bacterium. Its description in RNAcentral is "bacterial SSU rRNA". It matches the Rfam family "Bacterial small subunit ribosomal RNA", at positions 8 to 694 of the family's 1533-position model. The record is from RNAcentral.